Molecule: long non-coding RNA, 7075 nt
Organism: Leucoraja erinaceus (little skate)
Lineage: Eukaryota; Metazoa; Chordata; Chondrichthyes; Rajiformes; Rajidae
Exons: 2
Source: RefSeq, a predicted model, not a curated record
UAUAAUUGACUCCAGCAUCACUGAUGUCAGGCUAAUAGGUCUAUAAUUCUCUGGGUUCUCUCUGCCGCCUUUCUUAAAAAGUGGGAUAACAUUAGUUACCCUCCAAUCCACAGGAACUGAUCCUGUGUCUAUAGAACAUUGGAAAAUUAUCACCAAUGCAUCCACAAUUUCUAGAGCCACUUCCUUAAGUACCCUGGGAUGCAGACAAGGUUAAUUUCCAGGGAUGGCAGGACUUUCAUAUGCUGAGAGAAUGGAGCAGCUGGGCUUGUACGCUCUGGAGUUCAGAAGGGUGAGAGGUGAUCUCAUUGAAACAUAUAAGAUUGUUAAGGGCUUGGACACACUAGAGGCAGGAAACAUGUUCCCGAUGUUGGGGGAGUCCAGAACCAGGGGCCACCGUUUAAGAAUAAGGAGUAAGCCAUUUAGAACAAGGACGAGGAAACACUUUUUCUCACAGAGAGUGGUGAGUCUGUGGAAUUCUCUGCCUCAAAGGGGGUUGGAAGCAGGUUCUCUGGAUGCUUUCAAGAGAGAGCUAGAUAGGGUUCCCAGCACAGAUCCCUGCGAAGUCCACUGGUCAGACAUCCAGCCAGAAUAUCUUCCUUCCAACACACCACACCACACUGUCUUCUAUGAAUCAGCCAGUUCUGAAUGAACACGACCUAGUCACAGUGGAGGUCCUUCUGCAGUUGUACAGGCCCCUAGUGAGACCACACCUGGAGUAUUGUGUGUAGUUUUGGUCUCCAAAUUUGAGGAAGGAUAUUCGUGCUGUUGAGACAGUGCAGCGUAGGUUCACGUGGUUAAUUCCCGAGAUUGUGGGACGGUCAUAUGUUGAAAGAAUGGAGCGACUGGGCUUGUAUACACUGGAAUUUAGAAGGAUGAGAGGGUAUCUUAUUGAAACAUAUAAUAUUAUUAGGGGAUUGGACAUGCUAGAGGCAGGAAACAUGUUCCCAAUCCAGAACCAGGGGCCACAGUUUAAGAAUAAGGGGAGAACGGAGAUGAGGAAAAAUGUUUUCAUACAGAGAGUUGUGAAUCUGUGGAAUUCUCUGCCCCAAUGGAGGCCAAUUCUCUGGAUGCUUUCAAGAGAGAGUUAGAUAGAGCUCCUAAAGAUAGUUGAAUUAAUGGAUAUGUGGAGAAGGCAGGGACGGGGUACUGAUUGUGGAUGAUCAGCCAUUAUCACAGUGAAUGGCAGUGCUGGCUCAAAGGGCCGAAUGCCCUACUCCUGUAUCUAUUGUCUAUUGUCUAAUGCCUGUGCAUUCUAUGCAUCUUAAUCUUCUGGAUCAGCCUACCAUGAGGGACGUGAUCAAAAGACUCACUAAAAUCCAUGUACAGGUAUAAAACAUCCACCACCCUAUCUUCAUCAAUCUCUGUCACCUCACAGAAACAUGCUCAAGUUAGUAAAAUACGAUGCUGCAUACUAAGCCAAGUUGGCUGUCAUUAAUUAGCCCAUUCUCUUCCACCUGGGAGUAAAUCCCAUCUUGAAGAUUUCUCUCCAACUGUUUCCCUGGACUGACGUGAGGCUCACUGGCUUAUAGUUCCCUGGAUUCUCUCCACAUUCCUUCUUAAACAAAGGAACAACAUUGGCCACUCCCCAGUUCUCCAGCUCGUCGCCUGUGGUUAGAGAAGAAACGAAGAUCCUUGUCAAGGCCCCCACAAUAUCCUCUCUUGCCUCUCUCAAUAACCUGGCAUAGAUCCCAUCAGGCCCCAUGAUCUAUCCACCUUAAUGAUCUUCAAGAGCCUCAGCACGACCUCCUUCUCGACCUUAAACUGCCCCAGCAUAUUCGUAAUGACAUUUCAUGAACACGUUUGGCCCUCCUAAUCACCCGCAUGUGUCCUUUCCUUAUCACUUUAUAUUCCUCAUUAGGCCUGAUGCCUAAUCUUCACUUUCUCAUCAGCCCUUCCCUUUGUUUUCCUGCUGUCCUGGUUCCCACUUCCCUGCCAUUCCAGUUUAAAUCCUCCCGAGUAGAACUGGCAAACCUCCCAGCAAGGAUGUUGGUGCCCCUCCAGUUCAGGUAUAAGUGUAUGUCCCUCUAUUACAGGUCACCUCUACCUCAAAACAAAUCCCAAUGGCCCAUAAAUCUGAAUCCCUCUCUCAUGCAUCAACAUUCAUCUGUACUAUUGCUACCCUCACUAGCAAGUACGUGCCACUGUUAGUAAUCCAGAGAUUACAAUCCACAAUGUCCUGCAUCUUAACCUUUUGCCUAAUGCCUCUGUCCCACUUAGGAAACCUGAACGGAAACCUCUGGAGACUUUGUGCCCCACCAAAGGUUUCCGUGCGGUUCCCGGAGGUUGCAGGUGGUUGCCGGAGGUUGCAGGUAGUGGAAGCAGGUAGGGAGACUGACAAAAACCUCUGGGAACCUCCAGGAAUCGCACAGAAACCUUGGGUGGGGCGCAACGUCUCCAGAGGUUUCCGUUCAGGUUUCCUAAGUGGGACAGGGGCUUAACUCUCUAUAUUCAUUCUGCAAGACCUCAUCCCUUUUCCAACCAACAUCAUUUGUGUCGACGUGCACAAUGACUUCUGACUUCACCCUCCCUCUUGAGAAUAUUCUGUAGCUGAUCCAAAAUGUCCAGAACCCUGGCACCAGGAAGGCACCAGAUCAUCCUGGAAUCCCAUUUGCUGCCACGGAAUCUUCUGUCUGUCCCCCCUGUUUAUAGAGUCUCCUCUCACUAUCGCUCUGCCUGCCUUCACCCGACCUCACUGUCUCAGAGCCAUGGCCGGUGCCACAGACCUGGCUGCUGCUGCUGCCCACUACAUGGUCAUCUCCCUCAACAAUAUCCAAAAGGGGGAAAGGCCACAGGGCAUUCCUGAACCCUAUGCUGCUGGUCACCCAUCUAUUCUCUACCUGCAUCUUACCUGAAACAAAGCAGGAAGUCAUGGUCUCAUACAAUCUUUAAAACAACAAUAUCUGAAUAAAUAAUUACUUUGUACAUUUGCCGAGACCCAAAUGGAAGCACUUUUUAGUUUUUAUUCGUGUUAUCACCAGAUAUGUUUUCAUUGUACCUUGGUACAAUAGACAAUAAACUAAACUGAGGUAUGAUACUGCAAAGAAAGAAAUGCUGGAACAUCUGCUGUUUGUGUACAAAGAUUCCUGAGGAUAGACUGGAAAGGCUGUGUUUACUUUGCGUGGAGCAAUGGUGACUGAGCGGGGCCAUACAGAGGUAUUCACAAUUAUAAAAGGCAUAGAGAGUGUACGUUGUAGCAAAGAUUUCCCCACGGCAGAGGUAUCUAACGAUUGAGGGCACAAACAUAGAAACAUAGAAAAUAGGUGCAGGAGGAGGCCAUUUGGCCCCAUGCCAGCACCGCCAUUCAUUGUGAUCAUGGCCGAUCAUCCACAAUCAGUAACCUGUGCCUGCCUUCUACCCAUAUCCCUUGAUUCCGUUCGCCCUUAGAGCUCUAUAUAUCUCUCUUUUAAAUUCAUCCAGUGAAUCAGCCUCCACUGCCUGUGGCAGAGAAUUCCACAAAUUCACAACUCUCUGGGUGAAAAUGUUUUUUCACAUCUCAGUUCUAAAUGGCCUACCCUUUAUUCUUAGACUGUGGCCCCUGGUUCUGGACUCCCCCAACAAUGGGAACAUUUUUUCCUACAUCUAGCUUGUCCAGUCCUUAGAUGUUUCUAUAAGAUCCCCUCUCAUCUUUCUAAAUUCCAGUGAAUACAAGCACAGUUUUUCCAAUCUUUCCUCAUAUGACAGUCCCGCCAUCGCGGGGAGUAACCUUGUGAACCUACGCUACACUGCCUCAAUAGCAAGGAUGUCCUUUCUCAAAUUAUGAGACCAAAACUGCACACAAUACUCCUGAUGUGGUCUCACCAGGGCACUGUACAACAGCAGAAGUACCUCUUUACUCCUAUACUCAAAUCUUCUUGUCACAAAGGCCAACAUGUCAUUAGUUGACUUCACUGCUGUACCUGCAUGUUUACUUUCAGUGACUGGUGUACAAAGACACCCAUGUCUCGUUGCACUUCCCUUUUUCCUAAUCUGACACCAUUGAGAUAAUAAUCUGCUUCCUUUUUCUUGCCAGCAAAGUGGAUCACCUCACAUUUAUCUACAUUGUACUGCAUCUGCCAUUCAUCUGCCCACUCACUCAACCUGUCCAAGUCACCCUGCAACCUCCUAGCAUCUUCUCCGCAGUUCAUACUGCCACCCAGCUUUGUGUCAUCUGCAAAUUUGCUUGUGUUACUUUAAAUACCAUAAUCUAAAUCAUUAAUAUAUAUUGUAAAUAGUAGCAGCCCCAGCACCGAGUCUUGCUGCACUCCGCUCACAACUGCUUGCCAUUCUGACCGAGACCUGUUUAUUCCUACUCUUUGUUUCCUGUCUGCCAACCAAUUCUCUAUCUAUGUCAAUACCCUACCCCCAAUACCAUGUGCUCUAAUUUUGCCCACUAAUCUCUUGUGUGGGACCAUAUCAAAGGCUUUCUGAAAGGCCAGAUACACUAUAUCCACUGGCUCUCCUUCAUCCAUUUUACUUGUCACAUCCUCAAAUAAUUCCAGAAGAUUUGUCAAGCAGGAUUUCCCCUUCAUAAAUCCAUGCUGACUUGGACCUUUUACUGCUAUCCAAUUGUGCCGUUAUCACUUAUUUCAUAAUUGACUCCAGCAUCUUGCCCACUACCGAUGUGAGACUAACUGGUCUAUAAUCCGUUUUCUCUCUCGCUCAUUUCAUGAAAAGUGGGACGACAUUAGCUAUCCAUCAAUUAGUUACCCUCAGGAACUGAUCCUGAAUCUAUAGAACAUUGGAAAAUGAUCACCAAUCCGUCCACGAUUUCUCGAGCCACCUCCUUGAGUACCCUGGGAUGCAGACUAUCAGGCCCUGGGGAUUUAUCAGCCUUCAGUCCCAUCAGUCUACCCAAUAUUAUUCCUCACCUAAUGCAAAUUUCUUUCAGUUCCUCCCUAAAUCCUUUGACGUCUAGUACAUCUGGGAGAUUGUUUGUGUCUUCCUUAGUGAAGACAGAACAAAAGUACCUGUUCAACUCUUCUGACAUUUCCUUGUCCCCAAUAAUAAUUUCACCUGUUUCUGCCGUCAAGGGACCCAUAUUUGUCUUUACUUAUCUUUAUCUCUUAACAUAGCUAAAGAAGCUUUUACUAUCCUUCUUUAUAUUCUUGGCCAGCUUACCCUCGUACUUCAUCUUUUCACCUGGUAUUGCCCUUUUUGUUACCUUCUGUUCUCCUUAUAAGUUUGCCAAUCCUCUGCUUCCCGGUACUCUAUGCUGUGUUAUACACCUUUUAUUAUUAUUUUUUUCCAUCCCUAACUUCUCUUGUCAGCCACAGUUGCCUCUUACUCCCCUUAGAAUCUGUCUUCUUCUUUGGAAUGAAAUGAGGCUGCAUCUUCUGGGUUAUGCCCAGAAAUUCCUGCCAUUGCUGUUCCACCAUCAUUCCUGCUAGGAUCCUUUUCCAGUCAACCAAGGCUCCAGAACAAGCUGCUCUAAGAAUCCAUCUGGGAGGCCCUCUACAAACUUCCUUUCUUGAGGUCCAGAACCAACCUGAUUUUCCCGGUCUACCUGCAUAUUGAAAUCUCCCAUAACCACAGUGGCAUUACCUUUGUUACAUGCCAAUUUUACCUCCUGCUACUUGCACCCUAUAUCCAGGCGACUAUUUGAGGGUCUGUAGAUAACUCUCAUUAGUGUCUUCUUACCUUUACAAUUCCUCAAUUCUAUCCACAGUGACUGUACAUCAUCAGUACCUAUGUCACCCCUCGCAAGGGAUUAAGUUUCACCCCUCACCAACAGAGCUAUCCCACCUCCUCUGCCCACCUGCCUGUUCUUUCUAUAGGAUGUAUAACCCUGAAUAUUAAUUUCCCAGCCCCGAUCCUCCUGCAGCCAUGUCUCUGUAAUCCCCACAAUGUCAUAUCUACCAAUCUCUAACUGAGCCUCAAGCUCAUCCACUUUACUUUUAAUACUUCACGCAUUCAUAUAUAAUACUUUUAAUCCAUUACUGCCUCACCUUUCACACCGAUUCCUAUUUCACUUGACCAUACUCUCUUUUCCCUUCAUGAGCUUUCCGCCCCGUUAAUUCUGGGGUCUUUUUUAACUUUCCCUAUACUCUCUUUCCCUUUAACUCCAUCCUUGCAUUUCAAAUUUGUCUCCGCCCCCCUCCCACACUAUUUAGUUUAAACCCACCCGUGUAGCAGUGGCAAACCUGCCUGCUGGCAUAGAUUUAGAAUGAAAGAUAAGAGGCUUAGAGAGAGCUCAAGAAGGAAUUAGUUACAGAGGAGGAUAGUUUAAAUCUAAACCCAGCGCCUGAGUGCGUGUUGAGACAGGAACAAUGUUUAAGAUGUAUCUAGUCGAGCACUGCAUCACCAAGCCACAGAAGACUCGUCGGACGGCCGAACCAACCCAGAACUCGUUAGACGUGGAACCGCCGGAGGCUCCGUCACUGGACAGUCCAUCAGACGGCAGAAGAGCCGAAACCGGGCGCAUUCAGCGGGCGGCUGGACUCGCUUGGAGGCUCCUUGGACGCGGAACCGCCCGAUAGCUCAUCGGAUGUGGAAUACUGGGAUGGAGUUGCUGGAGACAUUGGGCGUGGAGACCAAGGGCCGGUAGGAAGGUGAACCGGGUUAAUGUCUCCAGUGUCUCGAAGCUUUAGCUGCACUUUUACUGUUGAGUCGAUUGAGAAGGUGUUGCAGGAAAUGAUUUCCUCCCUCAGUCUUUUCCUGUUGCUGGAUAGAAACUCAGCCUCGAAAGUGAAACUAGCUUUGCAAGAAAUUACGGCAAUGAUAUUGCAGUGUGUGGCGGAACUGCCUGGAUCCAAUACAAGCCCAGAACAGGAUAGCAACAGAAUCGCUGCAUUUGUCACACCCGGCCUGAUUGGGUGAUCUUUUCUCUGCCUGUUUAUCACGUCUGUCAGUUAUCACCAGUCACCUUUGACUCUUUGUGCCCAACGGAAAAUAACAUGUUUAUCUCUUUGCCAUCAAAUGAGAGAAGGGAUAUCACCCCAGGAGGCCACAUGAAUGACAAGGGUGCCAGGCAAAACAUUUGUGAACAUUAGGAAGCGAUGCAAACAAAUGUAUGUACAGCCUCCGAGAAUGUCGGUAGUAUUUUUCCCAGUUCUUGUUUUGUAUAUUCUGAAUAAAGUUGAUUUUGAUUUUAUAAAAA